AGAAUCAACGCUGGCGGCGCGCCUAACACAUGCAAGUCGAACGAGAAAGCCGCAAGGCAAGUAAAGUGGCGUACGGGUGAGUAACACGUGGAUAAUCUACCUUUUAGUGGGGAAUACCGUUGGGAAACCGACGACAAUACCGCAUAAGCUCGAGAGAGGAAAGCAGCAAUGCGCUGAAAGAGGAGUCCGCGGUCGAUUAGUUAGUUGGCAGGGUAAAAGCCUACCAAGACUGUGAUCGAUA
This 241-nucleotide ribosomal RNA is filed under the name uncultured bacterium. RNAcentral's name for it is "partial small subunit ribosomal RNA". It matches the Rfam family "Bacterial small subunit ribosomal RNA", at positions 26 to 285 of the family's 1533-position model. The record is from RNAcentral.